UACGAAGGGUGCAAACGUUGCUCGGAAUUAUUGGGCGUAAAGCGCACGUGGGCGGCUUUGCAAGUCCCAUGUGAAAUCCCACGGCUCAACCGUGGAAGUGCAUGGGAAACUGCAGAGCUUGAGUACUUAAGAGGAUCGCGGAAUUCCCGGUGUAGAGGUGAAAUUCGUAGAUAUCGGGAGGAACACCAGUGGCGAAGGCGGCGAUCUGGGAAGAUACUGACGCUGAGGUGCGAAAGCGUGGGGAGCAAACAGG
RNAcentral lists this ribosomal RNA (253 nucleotides) under uncultured bacterium. Its description in RNAcentral is "partial 16S ribosomal RNA". It matches the Rfam family "Bacterial small subunit ribosomal RNA", at positions 524 to 776 of the family's 1533-position model. The record is from RNAcentral.